UACGGAGGGUGCAAGCGUUAAUCGGAAUUACUGGGCGUAAAGCGCGCGUAGGUGGUUUGUUAAGUUGGAUGUGAAAGCCCCGGGCUCAACCUGGGAAUGGCACUUGAUACUGCCGGGCUAGAGUAUGGUAGAGGGAGGCGGAAUUUCCGGUGUAGCGGUGAAAUGCGUAGAUAUCGGAAGGAACACCAGUGGCGAAGGCGGCCUCCUGGACCACCACUGACGCUGAGGCGCGAAAGCGUGGGGAGCGAA
RNAcentral lists this ribosomal RNA (249 nucleotides) under uncultured prokaryote. RNAcentral describes it as "partial 16S ribosomal RNA". It matches the Rfam family "Bacterial small subunit ribosomal RNA", at positions 524 to 772 of the family's 1533-position model. The record is from RNAcentral.